Acanthosepion pharaonis is the source of this 100-nucleotide non-coding RNA. Lineage: Eukaryota; Metazoa; Mollusca; Cephalopoda; Sepiida; Sepiidae. The record is from the annotation of a GenBank genome assembly.
UUACGGUCAAAUCACGCUGAAACACCGGUUCUCGUACGAUCACCGAAGUUAAGCAGCGUACUUAGAUGAGGGACCGCUUGGGAACACCUGGUACUGUAAG